Populus nigra (black poplar) is the source of this 513-nucleotide long non-coding RNA. RefSeq lists it as uncharacterized. NCBI's taxonomy places the organism in Eukaryota, Viridiplantae, Streptophyta, Magnoliopsida, Malpighiales, Salicaceae. The record is from RefSeq and is a predicted model, not a curated record. The transcript is spliced from 2 exons.
AUAUUAAACUUAUCUAAUUUCACAUUAAUUAUAGAUAUUAUUACUUAGAUUGUCGCGCACUCAAGAUGGCAAAUCAUCUACCCAUGUUGAGCUUUUUUAUUUGGAUGAUGAUAUUUUUGGGUAUAAUGACUAUUGAGCAAGGAGACCAUGACUAUGAUCAUGAAGAGCAUCAGUCACAAUCCAUGCUUAUCAGGCUCGCCGACAUUUCUAGCUUGCAAGGAUCGACAUCAAUCGAAUAACGUAUUCACUAUUAUUAGGACGUGGCGGUUUUACGUGGACUACCUGUUGAUGGAUGGAUAAUCACAUCUACUGGCGCUCGUGAUCGAAUUGUGUUAUAUGAACGAUCAUUUGGAUUGACACCCUCUCCUUCUGAAUUGAAAGGGGUAACAUACAUUUUAAAUAGAUUGAGAAGAUAUUUACGACAUUACCAAAUGAUGUUGACGAUGAUAUCUUGCGGAGAUGCAAAUUAAAUUAUUAUUUGAAUGAUAUUUAAUUGUGUUGAUUAUUUUUUAA